UGGAGGGGGAUAACUACUGGAAACGGUGGCUAAUACCGCAUAACGUCGCAAGACCAAAGAGGGGGACCUUCGGGCCUCUUGCCAUCAGAUGUGCCCAGAUGGGAUUAGCUAGUUGGUGAGGUAACGGCUCACCAAGGCGACGAUCCCUAGCUGGUCUGAGAGGAUGACCAGCCACACUGGAACUGAGACACGGUCCAGACUCCUACGGGAGGCAGCAGUGGGGAAUAUUGCACAAUGGGCGCAAGCCUGAUGCAGCCAUGCCGCGUGUAUGAAGAAGGCCUUCGGGUUGUAAAGUACUUUCAGCGGGGAGGAAGGUGUUGUGGUUAAUAACCGCAGCAAUUGACGUUACCCGCAGAAGAAGCACCGGCUAACUCCGUGCCAGCAGCCGCGGUAAUACGGAGGGUGCAAGCGUUAAUCGGAAUUACUGGGCGUAAAGCGCACGCAGGCGGUCUGUCAAGUCGGAUGUGAAAUCCCCGGGCUCAACCUGGGAACUGCAUUCGAAACUGGCAGGCUUGAGUCUUGUAGAGGGGGGUAGAAUUCCAGGUGUAGCGGUGAAAUGCGUAGAGAUCUGGAGGAAUACCGGUGGCGAAGGCGGCCCCCUGGACAAAGACUGACGCUCAGGUGCGAAAGCGUGGGGAGCAAACAGGAUUAGAUACCCUGGUAGUCCACGCCGUAAACGAUGUCUACUUGGAGGUUGUGCCCUUGAGGCGUGGCUUCCGGAGCUAACGCGUUAAGUAGACCGCCUGGGGAGUACGGCCGCAAGGUUAAAACUCAAAUGAAUUGACGGGGGCCCGCACAAGCGGUGGAGCAUGUGGUUUAAUUCGAUGCAACGCGAAGAACCUUACCUGGUCUUGACAUCCACAGAACUUUCCAGAGAUGGAUUGGUGCCUUCGGGAACUGUGAGACAGGUGCUGCAUGGCUGUCGUCAGCUCGUGUUGUGAAAUGUUGGGUUAAGUCCCGCAACGAGCGCAAC
RNAcentral lists this ribosomal RNA (973 nucleotides) under Salmonella enterica. Its description in RNAcentral is "bacterial SSU rRNA". It matches the Rfam family "Bacterial small subunit ribosomal RNA", at positions 134 to 1102 of the family's 1533-position model. Lineage: Bacteria; Pseudomonadati; Pseudomonadota; Gammaproteobacteria; Enterobacterales; Enterobacteriaceae. The record is from RNAcentral. RNAcentral also lists the same sequence under 1 other name.